RNAcentral lists this unclassified non-coding RNA (414 nucleotides) under fungal sp. RNAcentral's name for it is "partial internal transcribed spacer region". The stretch from base 1 to 46 matches the Rfam family "Eukaryotic small subunit ribosomal RNA", at positions 1786 to 1831 of the family's 1831-position model. The record is from RNAcentral. Lineage: Eukaryota; Fungi.
AAGUCGUAACAAGGUUUCCGUAGGUGAACCUGCGGAAGGAUCAUUAACAACAUAUCCUAACUAAAAAACCCUGUGAACUUUCAACCCCAAGCUCUUGAUCCGAGGAGUUCAGCAAUCUCUGGUAAAUCAUUGUUGACCAGCUUUUGAGUCAGGGACCUCUGCCGAUUGUGAUAUUUUAUAGCUACGGUUGAGCGAUUGCAUCUAGUGACCUGGCAUCCCCAAGUAAUCAGUGUUCUGAAAGUGUCAUUGAUUGUGUAAGGAUGGCGCAGUCACGAUCGCUGUAGGCCCACACGGCCGGCGACCGGGUCACCGGGCUCUGCUCCUUUACGACAACUACAGUCUAACUUCGCCGCGCGUGAAAUUCGCACGGCACCAAAAACCGAACAACUGUUAACAAUGGAUAUCUUGGUUCUC